UUUUCUUUUUGAUCUUGCUAACGGACUCCGUCACUAGAUAAGAAAUAUAUUGUUGUAUUUAGGUCAGUUCACCUUAUUUUUGCUUAUUUUAAAUCUAAUCAGAUCAGAAAAAAUAAGUUCAGUUCAGAUCAUGCUUAUAUUUAAAAAAUCAUUAUUACUAUUAAAUAUCUUUCAUCACAUAUUAGUAAAAAUUAUAAUAAUUAAAUAUUAAUAAAGUACGUAUUGAGACGAAUCAAACAAGACCCCACAUGAUUAUAUUUUUUUAUAUAUUGAGAAAAAUCUAAAAGAUAAGAUCUUGUUAUCAAAUCAGAUCAAAUUAAAUCAGAUAAGUUCAGAUCAGAAAAUUUCAGGUGACAUAGCCUUAAUUACUCAUAUUUAUAUAAAAUAAUAGAAUAAGGUAUAAUUUCAAUGCAAAACAUUUAAUGUUUUUCAAAGGAAGGGAAAACAUUUAAUUCCAAUGCAAAGCAUAUAAAUGCAUUGCAUUGGAAUUAUACAUUAUUAUAUUAUUUUAUUUAAAUAUGAGUAAUUAAGUAGAACAAUAUAUUUCUUAUCUAGCGUUCCCGGGGCAUCUGUUAGCUUUUGCUUUAUUUAUUUUUUUGAGGGGAAACAGAAGUGCAUUAAUUAAAGAGACAAGGUGUCCGUAAGUACAUAAGGUGUUACCACACUAGGAGUCUAGGAGAAUAGGACAAUGACGCUCCAAACAUUGCUCAACACUAGGAGUCUAGGAGUCUAGCGAGGUUAUGGGCCACACAAUUCCCAUCCCUUCUAACAUGAGAAAAAGAAACAUAAGAAAAGCCAUUACACAUAGAAAGAAUAUCCCCAAGUAUUGUAUCCAAAUUUGAGAAGAAAAUUGCUGCUUUAGUUAAUCUUUUGGUAGCUACUACAAAAUCGGACUGAAAAUCACAUCACCAUACCCAUGAGCUUUGGCCAAUCGGGUUGCCAUAUAAAUGGCCUUACAUUCAGCUACCUCGGGAGGCCAGUCGGCACGCACACGUCUAGUUGCAACAAAGCACACCUUACCUUCCGAAUCACGGGCUAUCACACCAAGACCCUCCCAACCUUCAUCAGCUAAGCUUGCAUCUGUAUUCAGUUUAAUAGCACCAGCAGGGGAGCAUGUCAUCGGGCUGGGCUCGGAGCCGUGAUGGGCCACAGUCCACCGUAAAUCCUCACCGCAAAGCAAUUAAAGUCAUUAGCUUGUCUCAUGAUUCUCUGGCACACAACAGGGAUAGGAUGGCUAGUAUUCUCAAAUACUUUCUUAUUUCUUUCACCCCGCACAUUCGAAAGGAUAUAACAACCCUUUUGAACCACCUUGGCAUCCAUCUCACUCCAUCUGAUGAGAUUAUCACACAUGCCUUCAUCUUCCACCUCUUGUAAUAACAUAUAACAACCCAGCUCUUCCCACAAUUUUAGCGACAUCGGGUAGCUAUAGAAUAAAUGUGAUUGCCUCUCAUCCUCUCUGGCACAGCAGGGGCAACCAGCUUCUUUGACGAGGUGACGUCGCUUGAGCACAUCCCGUACCAGGAAUGAGCUUGUGCAUGCGCGCCACAUGAAAAGGCGAACCUUAGGCGACACAUUUAAGCUCCACAAAAUAUUCCACACUCUAUGAAAAUCCUCCAAUUUCCCACCUUUCCCCAACAUAUAAGCAGUUUUCACCGAAUAGGUGCAUCCUUUGAGUACGCCCAAGCUCAGUGGCGGAUGUAGGUAAUAACACGCUGGUGCACGUGCACCAGCAAUAAAAAAAAAAAAAAAAAAAAAAAAAAAAUCAAAAAAUCACGCAAAAAAAAAAAAACGCUCUUUUCUCUCACGAGUCACGCAGACCUACCUUUCUCUCUCACAGUCUCACGCAGACCUCAACUCCUCAAGCCUUCUCGCUGCCUCCCUGGUGGCUUGACUGGCUUCGUCCGGCGGCCUCCGCCACGGCAGCGCUUUCAUUGACUGUUGGUGGCUUCGUCCUUCGUGGGCGAUUCGUGGUUAAGUUUCGACGCUUCGUAUCGCCAUCGUCCUUGACGAUUCGCCGACGUGCAGCCACGAAAACGGUCGGAAUUCCUUCCUUGGUGGACGACGGUGGACUACGGUGGACGGAAUCUACUCUAGCUCCUCGGCCAACGGUUCGAAGCUCCUCCUCCUCUCGCAACACCGGUGACCUACUCUACUCUACCCUGUCUAUCCUAACACCUCCCACCAUUGCCGUCGUUGGUGUCAGACGACCUUCAUUCGCUUAGAACCAAAUAACCACCAGGUAAUUUUGUUCACCAUCUUAUCUUCUAAUAUAAAUUUAUAAUGAUGAGUUUGAAUGUGGCCAAAGUAAGAGCACAACAACUAAGAAUCUGAUAUUUUUGUUACUUGUAAUAUUAGGUAGACAACACAACUAAGAAUCAAAUAUAGUUACACUCACCGGGAUACAGAGCACAUACUCAAUACAAUGCGUGAUUUAAUGGCCAAACUCUGUUUUGUUAAUGGUGAUUUAGAUGUCCCAUAUUAUAGGAAGAGAUUGAGUUAUUGACGAGGAUCGAAAUAAAGGAAGAGGCAAUAGGCAAUUACUUGACACUGACGCACCAACAGAUAAAUGUUACAGUGAUCGUCUGAUCGACUUGAAAAAGUAAUAAUAUGAGUCGAAAAGGUAUUCAUAUUACGAUAGCUGCAAGAGUCGAAACCAUUAAGCUAGAGAAACAAUUAACCAGGACGCAAGACAAAUCUCGGCCCCUACUAAAUGGCCAGUGGCUUGAUAAAGAGAUCAUUCAAAGAUAAACAGAUUUCUCGAUUCGAAAAAAGGACGUAAAAGAUGAGCAACAAUAAAAUGAGGCGUAUACAACAAAGCCAAAAGAACACGAGCAAGAAAAGUAAAUGUCUAAAAUACUAGUAAAUUUAUAAUCAUUACUCAAACGUCAAAACCAAAUUGCCUGGUAUAAGUCGAGACACAAAAUUACCAUCAAGAGAAUAAUAUAAACCGAUUCCGAAACAAAUAAGGCUCUAAUAGGGAAUAUACGCCUUAUUUGAAGAAGCAAUAGAGUCAAUACUACUACAAAACUACUAAACGAA
Beta vulgaris subsp. vulgaris (sugar beet) is the source of this 3039-nucleotide long non-coding RNA. RefSeq lists it as uncharacterized. NCBI's taxonomy places the organism in Eukaryota, Viridiplantae, Streptophyta, Magnoliopsida, Caryophyllales, Amaranthaceae. The record is from RefSeq and is a predicted model, not a curated record. The transcript has 2 exons.